This 207-nucleotide long non-coding RNA is filed under the name Medicago truncatula (barrel medic). RNAcentral's name for it is "long non-coding RNA (MTRU_LNC005963)". Lineage: Eukaryota; Viridiplantae; Streptophyta; Magnoliopsida; Fabales; Fabaceae. The record is from RNAcentral.
AGUGUUAACUCAGUCAAACUCGUUAAACCUUCCAAUUUUACCAGAAACCGAUUUUACCUCAGAGUUAACACGAUUUUUGUACCUAAAAACGUAAACUCGGUAAUCUCGAAGAGUUAACACUCGAUUUGCGGAACAUUGAUUACGACAUACUCUCUAUCAUAAUAUUCUCAAUACAAUUUUUUAUUUUUUUGAGAUAGAGAGAGGGAG